UAUUGAUCCGGGAGAACAUUCAAUCCAUUUCUGCAAGUAAUAGUUCUUCAAGUGACUUCAGCUUAUCGAUACUGCGUACGAUGAUGGUCUGCGAUACUACAACGAAGUGCCACGCCCCACUGAACACGACUAGUUAAUUCAUGGUGUGUUCGAUAGACACGAGCUGAAAAGGACCAGAAAUAAUGUCUAACGGCUUAUGUACCAGAUGUAAAAUACCGAAAACGUGAUCGUUACGAACGUACUAUCACGGUGUCCUUCGCAGUUGAUAACUGUCGAGCGUCGGAGAAAAUAAGGUCCCGUUGGUCGUUCGUCUUUAACCCGAAUCUCCCCGAAGGACUGGACUAUUGCUUUUUUUUUCGAUUGCGUAUUCAACAUUAGUUCAGUGAACGUUGUUGAUUCGGUGAAGUGAAGGACCAUUCGAGAUUAUUGGGCUGACUGAGGAACAUCGGACUUAUAUC
Varroa destructor (honeybee mite) is the source of this 458-nucleotide long non-coding RNA. RefSeq lists it as uncharacterized. The record is from RefSeq and is a predicted model, not a curated record. Lineage: Eukaryota; Metazoa; Arthropoda; Arachnida; Mesostigmata; Varroidae.